AAGUCGUAACAAGGUUUCCGUAGGUGAACCUGCGGAAGGAUCAUUAUCCAUCUCAAACCAGGUGCGGUCGCGGCCCCCGGGGGCUUGCUCCCGGGCGGUAGGGGUAACACCCGCACGCGCCGCCUGCCUGUACCCUCUUUUUACGAGCACCUUUCGUUCUCCUUCGGCGGGGCAACCUGCCGCUGGAACCAAAACAAAACCUUUUUUGCAUCUAGCAUUACCUGUUCUGAUACAAACAAUCGUUACAACUUUCAACAAUGGAUCUCUUGGCUCUG
Molecule: unclassified non-coding RNA, 275 nt
Filed under: air metagenome
Description: partial contains small subunit ribosomal RNA, internal transcribed spacer 1, and 5.8S ribosomal RNA
Rfam family: Eukaryotic small subunit ribosomal RNA (bases 1-46)
Source: RNAcentral